Molecule: long non-coding RNA, 248 nt
Filed under: Prunus persica (peach)
Lineage: Eukaryota; Viridiplantae; Streptophyta; Magnoliopsida; Rosales; Rosaceae
Description: long non-coding RNA (PPER_LNC002473)
Source: RNAcentral
AUAAAAAUGGUGGCAAAGCGUGCGACCACUCUGAGCCGGAACCUGUUUACGGAUAAAGCUCUCUCCAGAGGGUGUUUUUCAUAAGCUUGAGUUUCGAAUGUUGUACCUCACAGAGUAUCCAGCUAAUAUUCGCCCAAGUUUUUAAUACUAGUGGAGAAGUGAAAAGAAGAAUUAUUAUUUUUUAAAUAUCCUCCGUACACUUUGUAUGUUAAAUUAGUUUAAACAAUUUGAAAAUUAUUCUUCUUUUU